Molecule: long non-coding RNA, 931 nt
Organism: Ostrinia nubilalis (European corn borer)
Lineage: Eukaryota; Metazoa; Arthropoda; Insecta; Lepidoptera; Crambidae
Exons: 3
Source: RefSeq, a predicted model, not a curated record
AACACUUAUAAAACCAAUUAACCUUAGUAGAAUCUGUUGAAUUACUACUUACUGUCGCAAAAUGGAUAGCAAAAGUGACCCACUACACUUUCUGCCUUCGGAAAAAUGGGGGACCUCGAAGAAGCAUUUAGGGCCGACUGGCCCAGAGGAAUAUCGGCCUACACAGCACUACGAACCCAAAGAAAUCUACUGGACAAAGGACUGAACUACGGCUUCGAAGUAUACUGUCCCUAUGGUGACGUUAGCAACGGUAUGGUCGCCUUGAAUAUCAAACACAACUUUUAUGAAGUUUGGAUUCAGUGCCCAAAAGAUGACACAGAGUCCCUAGAAAAUGCACUUCUAUCUACAAACGUAAUAGAUUGGUCACAAGAAAUUACAGUGCCAUUUAUACCUCAGCAUCUUUAUGACAUGCUUCUGAGAGUGACUAAAAAGCUUGGAGUGGUGUUUGAAGGGGAAAACUGGCCUACCUUGGAUGUUAUUAUUUAUCAAAAGACACAGCCUGCUUUUGAAAAUAUUUGUUUACCAGAUGGCAUGCAGUUUAAGUCGGUCUCAGAAAAGGACGUAAGUUUGAUAUGAUUGAUUCAAAAUGGAUAAUACGCUACGACGGAUCGAAAAGCCUAUUCAGGCUCUUGGUAAAAGCUGACCUUAGUUAUGGCCUUUAUAAAGACGAUAUUUUAAUAUCAUGGAUCUUUAUCAGUGAAGUUGGAAACAUGGCCCAUUUGCACACCCCUGAAGAAUAUAGGAGAAUGGGCUACGCAACCUUAUUACUAAAACUUCUUUGUAAUAAGUAUUUAGAAGAGAAACGAGAUCUUUUUGGAUAUUGCGAGAGUAGAAAUGUAAAAGCUCUUAAUUUAUAUAAAAAGCUCGGAUUUGAAAAACUUCAUUAUAUUCGAUAUACUGUCGUUAAGCCUAAAUAAACCGCCAACAUCAA